UUUCCGUAGGUGAACCUGCGGAAGGAUCAUUAUCGUACAAAAUGUGAGGGGCAUGCGAGGGCUGUCGCUGACCCAAAAUUCGUGCACGCCCGAUUGUGUCCUCUUGCAUAAUAAUCCAUCUCACCCUUUGUGCAUCACCGCGUGGGCACCCUUCUGGAUCAACUCGGAGGGGGGCUCGCGUUUUCACACAAACCCCCCUUUUAAAAGUGUAGAAUGACCACAUUUAUGCAAUCAAUACAACUUUCAACAACGGAUCUCUUGGCUCUC
RNAcentral lists this unclassified non-coding RNA (267 nucleotides) under plant metagenome. RNAcentral's name for it is "partial contains small subunit ribosomal RNA, internal transcribed spacer 1, and 5.8S ribosomal RNA". The record is from RNAcentral.